RNAcentral lists this transfer RNA (85 nucleotides) under Bacillus phage vB_BanS-Tsamsa. It matches the Rfam family "tRNA". Rfam says of the family: Transfer RNA (tRNA) molecules are approximately 80 nucleotides in length. Lineage: Duplodnaviria; Heunggongvirae; Uroviricota; Caudoviricetes. The record is from Rfam by way of RNAcentral.
GGAGAGUUGUCAGAGUGGCUUAUUGUGCUUGGUUGCUAACCAAGUGGAGGUAAAACUUCCAAGGGUUCGAAUCCCUUACUCUCCU